This 72-nucleotide transfer RNA is filed under the name Candida tropicalis. Its description in RNAcentral is "tRNA-Thr (TGT) (tRNA-Thr-TGT-2-1)". It matches the Rfam family "tRNA". From Rfam's summary of the family: Transfer RNA (tRNA) molecules are approximately 80 nucleotides in length. The record is from RNAcentral. Lineage: Eukaryota; Fungi; Ascomycota; Pichiomycetes; Serinales; Debaryomycetaceae. RNAcentral also lists the same sequence under 2 other names.
GCUGGUAUGGCCAAGUGGUAAGGCACUGCACUUGUAAUGCAGCGAUCGCAGGUUCGAUCCCUGCUGCUAGCA